UGCCUAACACAUGCAAGUCGGAUGUGCCGCAAGGUGCAUGGCAGACGGGUGAGUAACGCGUGGGGAACCUACCUCUUUGUGGGGAAUAACGCUCCGAAAGGAGUGGUAAUACCGCAUGAGACCUUUGGCUGGGAUGCUGAAGGUGAAACCUGGGGACCGCAAGGCCUGGGGCAAGGAGAGGGUCCUGCGUCUGAUUAGCUAGUUGGCGGGGUAAUGGCCCACCAAGGCGACGAUCAGUAGCCGGCCUGAGAGGGUGAUCGGCCACACUGGAACUGAGACACGGUCCAGACUCCUACGGGAGGCAGCAGUGGGGAAUUUUGCGCAAUGGACGAGAGUCUGACGCAGCAACGCCGCGUGGGUGAUGAAGGUCUUCGGACUGUAAAACCCUGUCGUCAGGGACGAAGGUGGCAGUGUUAAUAGCGCUGUCACUUGACGGUACCUGGAGAGGAAGCCCCGGCUAACUCUGUGCCAGCAGCCGCGGUAAUACAGAGGGGGCAAGCGUUAUUCGGAAUUAUUGGGAACUGCAUCUGAGACUGGAAGGCUAGAGUGCUGGAGAGGGUGGUGGAAUUCCUCGUGUAGCGGUGAAAUGCGUAGAGAUGAGGAGGAACACCAGUGGCGAAGGCGGCCACCUGGACAGUAACUGACGCUGAGGCGCGAAAGUGUGGGUAGCAAACAGGAUUAGAUACCCUGGUAGUCCACGCUGUAAACGAUGAACACUUGGUGUGGAGGGAGUUGACCCCUGCCGUGCCGGAGCUAACGCGUUAAGUGUUCCGCCUGGGGAGUACGGUCGCAAGGCUGAAACUCAAAGGAAU
RNAcentral lists this ribosomal RNA (812 nucleotides) under uncultured bacterium. RNAcentral describes it as "bacterial SSU rRNA". It matches the Rfam family "Bacterial small subunit ribosomal RNA", at positions 45 to 910 of the family's 1533-position model. The record is from RNAcentral.